Molecule: long non-coding RNA, 483 nt
Filed under: Androctonus crassicauda
Lineage: Eukaryota; Metazoa; Arthropoda; Arachnida; Scorpiones; Buthidae
Source: RNAcentral
GUUUAAGAUGCCACAUAACAGUUUUAAACGACGACGAUAAAUGCGUUAUUGUAUUUUGUUAUUGUUUUAGUCGGAAUCAGUAAAAUGAAAGACGUUACUGCAAAAAUUGUCUUUCAGAGUUUCUCUAAAAUAAUUUACUGCGUAAGUAAUAGCAGCUGUAUAUAUAUAUAUUUAAUCUCGUUUAGAGUUAAAAGAAUUUUAAAGAAUUUCGUGUUAAAUUUAAUCGGAGAGCAGCAAAGGUCAGCGAGGAUAUAUUUAAUGAAGUCUUUUAAUAACGUUUUUUCUAAUCGGUCGACUCCGAAAGGACAUCACACUGCUGCUAUGACAUCAUUACCGUUUGCAAUAGUCGGAUAGAGUUUCCCAAAGAUAGAAUUUCUUCCGUUUCCAAUACAACGUUCUAGUAAAUUGAGCUUCGUUCGAUCUAAGAGGACAUUUUGUUAAAAAUAUUCGAUAGCAGAAAAAAAAGAAAAGUUUAUCAAUCGG